Molecule: non-coding RNA, 1688 nt
Organism: Pelobates cultripes (western spadefoot toad)
Lineage: Eukaryota; Metazoa; Chordata; Amphibia; Anura; Pelobatidae
Source: the annotation of a GenBank genome assembly
GGUGUAUUUACUCUCCGUCAGCCCGCCCAGUCACAGUUACUGCACUCCAACCUGGACGUUGUGGAACACAGCGCCAUCUAAUGGUGUAUUUACUAGUCUAAAUAAUAAGUGUCACAAUAUCUCGCCUAAAUUCUUCCUUUAUUCUCAAAAUUAUACAUUUCAGAAAUGACAGCAAAAUUUAGUUGGUAGGAAAAGAGACUUAAAAAGUGACUACCGGUAGUUUCAAAUAUAAAUAUGAAAUAAGAUUCCAAGGCAAUGUCUGAUGUAAACACUAACCGGUUUGUGUAUCAACCACAAGAAACACCAAGACACAAUAAGCACAGGAUACAGGAUUAUAUAUCUCUCAAAUAAAUGCAGAAAGAUUUCCAAGGCAAACGUGCUACUUUUUGCACUAUAAUACCUCGGCAAUGUCCCAUUCAACAAGGUCAAUCGUGCUUGUCUAUCAGAUAAUAGGAGGAAAGCUUUUUUAGUCACAAAGAAAAGGGACUACAUUAUAUACAUUACACUAUAUAUCUAACAAAACUCCAUAUACACUAGGACUGUACAGCCUAACCAUAUGUAUUCUAGAAGCCGGCACAAAGUCAUUUUAAUUGGGCAGAAUAGAUUUCAUCAGUCUAGUGUUACCUAGAUCAGCUCGGUAGGGAGACUGCCUUGGGUCUCUCUUCCUACUGAAUAAUAUAGACAGGACCAGCUGUGAUUUUUGUAUAUGAAUUUGUAAAUUCACAAUUGGAGCUAUACUGUUAUAUACUAUUUUUUUCUGUAAUAUGUCCAACAGCACAGACCAUCACCCGGCAGUUGGAGGCACAGACAAGGAAUUCCUUAGCCCCCUCUCUGUGUCGCCCUGCAGUGGGAGGGAUAGGCAUGGAGUUUCAUAGCUCCCCUCUCUGGGUCGCCCUGCAGUGGGAGGGAUAGGCAUGGAGUUUCAUAGCUCCCCUCUCUGUGUCGCCCUGCAGUGGGAGGGAUAGGCAUGGAGUUUCAUAGCUCCCCUCUCUGUGUCGCCCUGCAGUGGGAGGGAUAGGCAUGGAGUUUCAUAGCUCCCCUCUCUGUGUCGCCCUGCAGUAGGAGGGAUAGGCAUGGAGUUUCAUCGCCAUCGCUCCCCUCUCUGUGUCGCCCUGCAGUGGGAGGGAUAGGCAUGGAGUUUCAUCGCUCCCCUCUCUGUGUCGCCCUGCAGUGGGAGGGAUAGGCAUGGAGUUUCAUCGCUCCCCUCUCUGUGUCGCCCUGCAGUGGGAGGGAUAGGCAUGGAGUUUCAUCGCUCCCCUCUCUGUGUCGCCCUGCAGUGGGAGGGAUAGGCAUGGAGUUUCAUCGCUCCCUUCUCUGUGUCCCCUGCAGUGGGAGGGAUAGGCAUGGAGUUUCAUAGCUCCCCUCUCUGUGUCGCCCUGCAGUGGAGAGGAUAUAGGCAUGGAGUUUCAUAGCAUCCCCUCUCUGUGUGCCCUGCAGUGGGAGGGAUAGGCAUGGAGUUUCAUAGCUCCCCUCUCUGUCGCCCUGCAGUGGGAGGGAUAGGCAUGGAGUUUCAUAGCUCCCCUCUCUGUGUCGCCCUGCAGUAGGAGGGAUAGGCAUGGAGUUUCAUCGCCAUCGCUCCCCUCUCUGUGUCGCCCUGCAGUGGGAGGGAUAGGCAUGGAGUUUCAUCGCUCCCCUCUCUGUGUCGCCCUGCAGUGGGAGGGAUAGGCAUGGAGUUUCAUAGCUCCUCU